GCUAUUGGUGCAAAAGUCUCAUCAAAAUCCAAACCUUCAACUUGUGAGUAUCCUUGACCCACUAGCCUGGCUUUGUUUCUCACAACAUUUCCAUGCUCAUCACUUUUAUUUCUGUAGAUCCAUUUAGUUCCUACCACAUUUCUUGUUGUUGGUCUAGGAACUGGAUCCCACACUUGAUUUCUUGUGAACUGAAGCAAUUCCUCUUCCAUUGCCUUGAUCCAGUUAUCAUCUGUAAGAGCUUCCUUCACAUUCUUAGGUUCAAUUAGUGAGACAAAACCAAAAUGAGAAAUAAUAUUGAUAUUUCCUUGAUUUUGAUUUAGAAAACAUACCAAUGUUGCAUCCUUAAUUACCUCUCCUUAAGUUGCUCGUCUUCUGGUUAUAAUUCCUUCUUGCAUGUUUCCAAUAACAUCUAUCAUAGAAUGAUCCUUUUUUACUUGUCUAAAACCAGUUCUUGUUUUAGGCACUUGUUGGAGAUUUGAAUCAAUAGACUCAUCAGCUUCACUUCCAGUUUCAGCCUUACCAUUUAACUCAGUUUGAUCAUGAUCGGUAGUUUGACUGUCAUCUAAUAUUAUCUGUCUAUCAAAAAAUUCAUCCACAUACACAUUAAUAGAGACUAGGAAAGAUUUUGUUUCUUGUACACCCUAUAAGCUCGGCUAUUUAAGGAAUAUCCCAGAAAAAUACCAAUUUCACUUCUUGUUUCAAAUUUUCCCAAAUAUUGUCUAUCCUUGAAAAUGUAACAUGGAUUUCCAAAAACAUGCAAAUGACUUACAUUGGGUUUCUUACCUUUCCACAGCUCAUAGGGAGUAUUGUUGGUGCCAGGUCUGAGCAUUACCCUAUUUAUGAUAUAGCAUGCUGUGUUGAUUGCCUCAGCCCAAAUUUUUUGACUCAGUCCAGAAGAGUGCAACAUCACUCUUGCCAUGUCCAGUAGAGCUCUAUUUUUUCUUUCAACAAUACCAUUCUAUUGUGGAGUAGUAGGAGCUGAAAAGUUUCACCUUUAUCUGCAAGAAAAUAUACCCACGUAAAUCUUGUAAAAUCAUCAACAACAACCAAAAUAUAGCUCUUUCCUAUAUGACUUUCAUAUUGAGAUGGACCCAUUAGAUCCAUGUGCAGUAGCUCCAUUGCUUGAGAUGUAGGAAUUGAGUUGAUACUUUUAUAUGCAGAUCUUAACUGUUUCCCCAUUUUACAUCCUCCACAGAUUUUAUCUGUUCUAUCUCUGAGUUUUGGCAUGCCUCUUACAAUUCCUUGAUUUGACAAUUUUAACAAGUCCUGAAAGUUUACAUGACCAAGUCUUCUAUGCCAAAGAUCAAAAAUUUCCUCUGUGGAACUUGUUCCCAUACACAUCUGCACAUCAGGUGAAUCAUUAGCUAAUACAUGAUAUGACACGACCCACCCCGAAUUUCACCCUGAAACCCGGAGUAAGUCGUGCGGGGACCAUCUCCAAGGAAAAUUUACUGAAAAGAUUGAUAAAAUCUCCCUUGAAAAUGGACAACCCUAACUCGAAAAUUUCAAAAUACACUCUUAAUACAACACGUCCAAACAUCAUAUAAUUAACCUUCAGAAAUUCUAAACAUAAAAUACAGUAAUCCCAAAGUAUUCAGAGCUACUAGACACUAGCGGAAGCGAGAAAACACGAGUAGGUUAAACAUGUAACCUACUGAUGAAAACUGGCGGAAAUACGGGUGACUAUGCCUCGCCUCCUACUAGAUCCAACCCGAACUCUGCAGACUGGGCAAUUUAAAACGAAGAGCCCAGGGGAAAACAUGUGGAACAGUUAGAGUGAGUGGACAAAAAUAAAUUAAAAUAAAAGUAUUUCUUUAUGCUUCCCCAAUUUAAUUUCCAAAUAAAAUAAUACUGCAUGCAAUCGCUCAAAAGCGCUCAACUCAAAAACUGGCAACUUCACAACCAGCACCGGCUAGUCUCCAAAACUUAAUAAAAUACAGCAUCUCAAGCUAAAUUAUAUAUAAACAUAUAUAAGUGUAUGUAUUUACACUAGUCAGACUCCUUGUAUGAAUUCUAAAAACAAAUUAGAAAAAUAGAAAUUCAUAGAAGGUUACUAAGCUUGCGUCUAACGCUCACGUCACACCAUAAUGGAAUUGUAUCUCAGUAUGGCGAAAAAAGCACGAGUGUAUAUAUGUGUGGACUCCCUAUAUGAAAACCUAAAUAAACCAAAUAAGAAAAUAGUUUUCAUAUAGGGCUACUACGCUUGUGUCUAACACUCACGUCACACCAUAAUGGUAUUUUACCUCAUUAUGGCGGAUCAAACACGUAUGGCUAGCUAGCAUUUAUAUAUACAUACUAUCAUCAUAAACAUCCAAUAAACAUAUCCACCGAAAAUCUCAUUUUCGGGAUCUCUCCAAAGGAGGAAAAUUGCCAAAUAUCCGAGAAAUAAAUAAAUCUCAGGAAAAGAAAUAAAUGAUCAACAGAUAAUUCAUCGCAUGCUUUUCAAUUAAAAUAAAGGUCCACUCACAACUUAGGCCUAAGCCUGAUGACGCUCCGAGGCUUCCUCUGCUCGGGCCUCCUCUCGUCCUGUUCCAAAUAUAUAAUUAAUUUCCCACCAAAAAUCCAAUAAUUAAACAAAAUGGGCAAAAUUAAACGUGAGCCUCCCACACACUCAUCAUUGCCCAAAUUCGCCAUUCUUAACUCAAUACGGCUCAAACUUCGCCGAACAUACCGGCAGCCGUAAAAACAACUUCCCACAGAAUACGACUUAAAUCCUACGGCCGGAUUCUACAUUAAUUAACCGUCAAAAAAUACCAAAGUAAAUAACCGUAAAAUAACUUAAGAACCGGGGUGUGACAUGAUAACAAUUAUCAACUGAUCUAACUCCACCCAUUAUGUAGUCUCUCUUGUUGUUCAGAACUUGACACUUCUUUUUGUUGAACCAAACAUCUUCAAAAUCAUUUGUCAGUUGACUAAAACUCAGUAAAUUUGUAUUCAAACCUUCAACAUACAAUACAUUUUCAAGGUUUGGAAUGUUUGGUGUGUUGACAAUCCAUUUUCCUUUGAUUCCUGCUUGUCCUCCAUCACCAAAUGUAAUAGUACCUGAAAUAUUUCUGUUAGUGAAAGAAAUAAACCAUUCUUUGUUACCACACAUGUGUCUUGAACACUCACUGUCUAUGUACCACACAUCACUCUUUUUGCUGGAUAAAGCAGUCAAUGCAACUAAGCAGGUUGCCAUAAUAUGAGUUUCAUUUGAGUAGACAGAUGCACUCAGGCAAAAAGCUUGUAUUUCUUCCUUCUCUUCAUUCCUUGUCCAGCAUUUCACUCCUCUUCUUUCCUGCAUUCUUUCUUCAUAAAUCAUGUUAGACAUUUGACGAAUAAGGUUCAUACGUUCAUUCAUUUCUUUAUGUAGAAUUUCAAAUUUAUCACCCUUAGCAGUAUAUUGAGAAGAUCCAUUUAUGCAAUUUGGUCUGAUAUGACCAAUCUGUCCAUAGUGAUAACAAGUAAGAACAAAAGGUUUCCUCGAAACAUACCUUUUCUCAGUCGAUUUAGGAAUGACUAUUUUUACUUGUUGUUUUUCUUCAGUUUCCAACACUAGUUGUUCUUCCCCUUUUUCUUUAACAAACCUUGUGACAUUGGAGCUUUCACCAGUGUAUCCAAGUCCAAAUGUAUCCUUAUGUGCUUUUCCUAUACUGAGAAUAUUUGAGACUAUCUUUGAACUUGUUUGAAAUUGACUAAAUUUUUCCCUUGACUUUCUCAACUCAGCCUGCAACAAAACAAUUUCAGAGUUUAGCUCAUUAAUUUUCAAAUCUCUUAACUCUAUUUUAGAUUCUAAAUUUACACAACUACUGCUAAUGAACCAGUGUUUUUGAUAUUUUCAUUCUUCAACUCAGUUUGCAACUUUUGAAUACUGUUGUUGAACUCAUUUCUUUCAUUUUCCCAAAACUCCUAUUCAGACUGCAAUAUGUUUUCAGUUUUCUCUUGCUGUUCUGGUUCCUGGAGAACCUUCACCUGUUUCUUCAAGACAUUAUUCUUGUUGUUCAAGAUUUUUGAGGCAUUGUACAAUUGAUCAUAUUUGUCGUCUAGUUUCCUCCUGUCAAAAAAAUCAUCACUAGAAUCAUCAUCACUAGAACACACACUGUCAGUAUCAGAAAAAGACUCACAUGAGUCAAAUCUUAUAGAAGAAACGAAAGCAAAGUUCCUUUCUCCUUUUCUGAGGGAAUGUUCUUCAUCACUAUCACUCUAGGAAGUAGCUUUGAGUGCCCUUUUUUCACCAGUGCCCCUAUCCUUGAAUUUUUCACCUGCUUCAUUCUUUCUAUUCCCACAAUCAGUUGAAAUAUGACCAUAACCAUCACAUUCAAAGCAUUUCGGUCUAUAAUUCUUCAUUUCAAGCUUGUUAUGACUUCUAGAGUUUUUCUCAAAUCGAUUUUCAGAAUUUUUAUUUCUUCUUGAAUCAUGAAAGUUUUUAGAAGAACUAGAAUUUUGAUUGUUCCUAGAUUUCAAAAGUUUUUUGAAUUCCUUUGUGAGCAAAGCAUAAUCAAUAUUUUCAUCUUCCUGAUCAAUUUUAGAAGAGUUUUUCAAAGCCACACUCUUCUGUUUCUUAUCAGACCAAGAGCUAUCAGCAAUCAUUUUUAAUUCAAAGGUUUUAAGAUUACUUACUAAAUAUUCCAGAGAAUAUUUAUUUAAAUUGUGUACCUCCAUGAUAGCUGCCUUCUUGGGAAGGUACUUCCUUGGCAAAGCUCUAAGAAAUUUUUUCACCACCUUGUGCUCCUCAAACGGUUCAUUCAAGCUCUGACAUUGACCUAUAAUGUUAGUUACCCUUAAAUAAAAAUCAUUAAGCAACUCAUCCUCACCCAUUUUUAAAUUUUCAAAUUCUUUAGCAAGAAUCUGAAGUUUCUGGAUUUUGACAAUCUCACAUCCUUCAUGUGAAGUAACAAGCAUGUCCCAAGCUUCCUUUGCAGUGUCACAGUAUUGAAUACGCCUUCUUUCCUUAACACCAAGUGCAGUGAAUAAUGCAUUUUUAGCAACAUAAUCAGCAUUACAUAAGGCUUGCUCAUCUGCUGACCACAAGUCGACUGGUUUUAAUUGAACUCUAGAUGUAUUCUCUGAUUUCACAACUGGAGCUUUGUAACCUGAUUGAAUAAUUUUCCAUGCCUUUGCAUCCAAGGUGUAUAUGAAUGUUCUCAUCAUGAUCUUCCACUGUGGAAAAUCAUCACCAUCAAAUUUUAGAGGUUGAUUUACUGCAUUUCUUUCCAUUUCAAAAGUGGAUCUACUAGACACUUACUAGCACUUGCUCUGGUACCAAAUAUUAGUAUAGAAAUGGAUCAAACACAGAUAGAACAAGUAAUUUCAAUGGUUUGGUGCAAAACCUCAACGAGGGAAAAAACACCAAGCAAGAUUAUUCCUUUAAUCUUCAAAAAGACUACAAGUCGUAAUUCUCACACAAUUACACAACUCAUACAAUGUUCUCUCUUCUUCUCACACAAGUAACUUAAUUCAAGUAGCUCUAUCAAGAGAAACUGAAUUAAAAUUCUGAGAUCUCACUCACUCAGCUAUACUAGUUCUCACACAACUAAUACAUACUGCAACUAAUUCUCAUACAAUUAGUUUUUAUGCAGUAGCAACUAAGACUCAAACACUCUUAGUUCUUCUCUCAAAAUUUAUCACACAUCAAGAUGAUAGUUUGAUGAACAGCUUGGUUCUUUAACACAACCAGUUUCUCAGCUUCAUUUAGACUUGGCUUCUCAGUAAGCUUUUGUUCUCAAAACUCAGAUGCAACUUGUAUGCAAGUAAGAAAAGAGAAACUCAGUCUAUCUUAGAUAUACACAAGUAGUUUGUAAGAUGACCAUGAACACACAAUCAACUCAAAGACAAUGCUUAACACAGUUUUUUCUCAAUCAUACCAAAAAGCUUAUCUUUCUAAACACAGUAGAAGCAAUUUAUAGAGUGUGAAACACUCCCACUUAACUGAUGCCUUUCAAUAACAAGAUCAAAUUUCGUUUAUGAAAAUAUGCAAUCAGUCCACCAACACUUUGCACUUUCCAAAACGCAUAUACUAGUUUCAUGCUAUAACAUAGCCAUUAGAUAAAACAUAAAUCAUUUUCUUAAUCACCUGAGAACAAUGAUUAUGCAUAUAGAAUCAGACAUGUUUAUGCAAGUACUGAUAUGGACAUUACUGAUAUGGAAAUAAGAUAUCCUGCAUAUUAUCAAUUAAUGUUCCUGAAAUGGAAGUCUUUAGAAAUAAGACUUUUCCAAAAUUUCAUCAUUCAAAAACUUAUCAACUUGAAAGCCAGAUCUACUUACCAUAUAUGAGAUGUUAAAAUCUCAUUACCUUGAUCUUUUGACAUGAUACCUUUGAUUAUGUCUUUGAUCUAGACUUUAUGAUUUUUCCUGGUAUGAAAUCUUCUUUCCUCUUUUCCUUCCUUCAUUAGGAGUCCUUGUGUUGAAUAGGAAUAGCCAAUAUACCAACAUUCUCCCCCUUUGGCAUCGCUAUUCAACACAAGAUCAAGACCUGUAAAACAGACACAAAACCAACAUAUAUAUACAGAACGGAAAGCAGGCUUGAAGAUUUUCGAAUCAGUUUCCAUCAUUUUCUCCAUCUUCAAGAUAAAAAUCAAAAGAAGACACAAAAUAAUAAAUGACUGCAUGCAUAGUUCAAAGAAAACACAAAAUAUGUCAAGUGCUUAGGCACUUUUACAAACCAGAAAUAAGAUUUGAUGUUCUAGUCAUCAAAAAUCAAAAAGCAGAAAACUUAAAAUAGACUCUACCAGGCUCUAAGCUGCUUCCGCCAUUGUCUAACACUUAUAAUAGAUUUAUAUUGUGAAAUAGUUUCUCUCUAACUCAAAAAGAAGUUGAGCUAAAAUAAGAUUGCACCUAAAACCUGUUCUAUUUUCAUUCAGCUGAUCAAGUGGAUCCGGUAGCCCACUUGUCUUUGGAAGAGGAGAGGAGCACGCGCAAUGAAGGCUAAAGAAAGAAACACACCAAUUCAAAAAGGACAAAAUAUUCUUCAAAAUAAGUUUGCAUUCUUCCAAAGGCGAGUGAUUUUUUUUUUCCUAACCUGACGAUGAUAGAUACGACGAGGAGAGUGUUGAAAUUUCCAGAUAUGAGAUUGCCGCAACAACAUCAGUGAUAUCGUCAUCUUCGGGGAAAGAAUCGAUCUGCAAUAAAAAUUGGGGGAGAUGGCUGAGUAGGUGAUGGUCGAGGGCUGAGUGAGAGAGAAGGGAGGGCUCGCGCAGGUGUUAAGGAGAGAGAGUUGAAGGGCUAAGGAGUUUGUUGGGAGAAAGAGGCUGGGGAUUUUUGGGAGAGACCGAUGAGAAAGCUGAGAGGCACGGUGGAAUGAACUAGAUUGUUAAAUGUGGGUUGAAUGGUUGAGAGAGAAAUAUGUUUUGGUUGCGCUGUUGAGGUUUUGGUUGGGUUGUAGUUUUUUUUUGUUUUGUUUAAGUGUUAGGGGAGAAUUUAAUUUUGGGCUGAAAUAUAGGGGAAGGUUUGAGCACAUCAAUAUUUCAGACAAGCGCCAAUUAAUUGGCAUUCAUUUCGACAAGUAAUCACAUGACGUAACAACUAUAAACGUGGUUUGAUGGCCAAAAUUUUAGGUUUCAAUAUUCCCUCCAUCACAUUUCGUGUUCCUUCUUACAAGUUUGGGGCUGAAUUUGGGGGAAUGUUGGAGGGAAAUAUUGGCGGACAUGGUUUUGCUGAAAAUACACACAAUUACACCAUAGUUUUUAUACGAAACGUCGUAUCACUCUUACAUGUUGGACACCUUACAACUUAGGAAGGUUGAUGCUCAAAUUUUUACACAUUCACACCACGAUUUCUAAAGAAACUGACAUCUAAAAAGUUAAAAAUUAGUCACACAACGGGUUCUCACUAUACAUCGUCUGAUAGACAUUGUCUGAUGCUGGUUUUUGUGGUAGUACUUGACAAAAUCGAUGAAGCUUGAUGGGGGGUGAGUACUCCUACUAAUACCCAAGAAAAAUUAUAAAAUGAACUAAGGACAUGGAAGGAGAGGAAGAAUGGAAUGAUGGUGAGGAGAAGGGAAGGGUGUGUGCGGCCGACUCCCAGAGAGAAAGAAUGAGAUAAUAGGUCAUGGCGUGGUUUAGCACCUUCAGCUUUGCAUUUGAGGGAAACAAGGUGCCAUGUGGCAGCUUGUCAUUGGUUGAGCUUGAGAGAAAUUGCACCUUGUGCACGUGAUGGAGAAGAUGGUCAAUUAAAUGAUCAAUUAAACAUCUGGGGCAUGUUUACUUACAUGGAAUGAAAUUGAAAAGUGAGGGAAUAAUUCUGGCAGAGGAGAAUUCCAGCGUUUACUUACACAUAAUAGAAUUGGAAUGGGUGUGGGUCCCACCUCCUAAUAAAGAAUUGAUUCCUUGACAACCCUGAAUUGAAAUACCAAGGGGGGAGGUGGGAUUAAGAAUGAUACCAUCAGGAAUGAACUUUUAUUCCGAAAAUAUCCUCUUUAAUUUUAUAUGCUAAUAAUAUUGAGGAAUUUGUUUAAGAUGCUAAUAAUUUCAAUUUUUUUUUUCUUUGGCUUCUCUUUAUUAUGCUAAUAAUAUAUUAUUUGUGGAAGUUUUGUUUUUAAUUUUUUUUUUUUUUUUUUUUUUGUAUUUACUAAUAUGUAUAAACAUAUGAUGUCCUAAUUUUGUUGUUCAACCCUUGCAACUUGCGGUUUGAGAUACACCCAAAAUGUUAGUACUAGGUCAAAAUGAUUUUGAUAAAUCAUGGUAGAAGAGAGUUUAUGCAAGGACGAGAUUGCAAUAUACACAAGCGCGCACGUAGUUCUGUAUUAUAUUAUUAAUAUAUAGCCACAUAAUUACAAUUAAUACACUGAAUAAGAAUAGUUCGUUUGGUUUGUUGAUUAUACAUAACUUAUCAAUUGAGACAACGACAAACAAAACUAUAUCAACAUAUAAGGAAAAAUUGUGUUGAGAGUGAUCGAAAUGUGUAACUUAUAUAUUUUUUUCAUGGGUAUUUAGUAAUUAAAAUAAUAAUAAAUUACAUUCAUGUUCUAAUUCCAUGGGGUAAGUAAACAGCUUAAUGAAAUUGAAAUCUCCAUAUACUAUUCCAUUCCAUCUCCCAUUCCUUCUGUCUUUCAUUCUUGAUGAAUUUCAUUCCAAGCAAGUAAAUGUGCCACUAAGGCAAAGAUUCAUUAAUCAAAAUGAUUAAUUAAUCACCAUAAUGCUUUCUUCAAUUUUCUUGAUGCUCGUCCGUAAUAUUAUCGCCUCUUGAUGUGAUAACGAUUGACCGACUGCGACUAUUUCAUUUUUUUUGUCAACAAUUCAUAUUUGCUCCAAUCUCGCAUAUUUUGUUCGUAUUUCUGCAACUCUGUUUAUUAUCUACAAAGUAAAUAAAAGUAGAUUAAUUAUAUCUCUACUAUUAGAAAGCCUGACACCCUAUUUGGUGUCAUGGUGAGCCUUUUUUUGAAUUACCUAAAAAACCAAAAUAAUAGAAAAUUCUCAAAGAAAAUAAGCAUAAGUUUCUAUGGGCAUAACUGUAAAACACCAUUAGAAUUUUAUGGAGAAAAAAAAGAUGUGGUUUGUUCCCACUUUUGAUAGAGCAGUUAUCUAAGAAAUAAGAUAAUCAGAUUCAUUCCACUUUAAGUAGAGCAGUUCAAGUUAAAUUUAUCUCAUUUGUAUACCCACGUGCAGAUGCAUAGGUAAAAAGCUAGUAUUAAAUAACCUAAAGACUAGCAUUAUUCACGUGUAUAAAAAUACAUGAAAUUAAUACCUUGUGAGAAAUAUAGGAAUGUGAGGACGUUCCUAGCACCUUUGAUUGAAGUAAAAAUCAAGAGCAGUGUAAAAAUCAGGGGGAAUGUAGACUUUAGGGGGAGUCUAACACACAUACACUAUCAUACGUGCGUUGUGCUUUUUUUCCCUUCGACCGAAAUUUAUUUUAUCCCACUGGGUUUUGUUACUUGGCAAGGUUUUUAAUGAGGCAACACCAUAUGCACCAUUUCGUCUUUGACUUGGCACAAGGGGGAGUGUUGAAGGAAAAAACACAUUUAUAUGUAUCUUCGUCAAAGUCGUAAUUGACGAGAGUAAAUUAUGUAAUUAGUGAUCAAUUAGUGGAAUUGCUUCAUUAGUUAUCAAUCAGAUUUUAUUGUCAUUAUGUACGUUAUAGUUAUAUUUGUAAUAUCACCUCUAUAUAAAGAGGAGCUUCAAUGAAAUGAGUAGACCAAUUCUAUUUUUCCUAUUACACUAUUUUUUUUUAGACUAAUUUUAGUUUACCCCUAGCAACUUUAGAUCAAUCAUCAUGUUAGUCACUUUUCUUUCAAUUUCAUUAAAAACACCCUUGACUUCCGAUUUUCAUCAGCCGUGUCCAAAAAUCCGUUUUCUAUCUAAUUCCCUUGUCAUGUGAUGACUUGCAUUAAAAAGAAAACCAAAUUUGAAGUCGCUGGGCCCAUAGAAAAAAAAAUAGACAAAGUGCAUUCAAUCCCACCAAAAUCACUAAAGUUAGAGGUUAUGAUGGGAACGGAGAUGUCUAUCGAUAUGGGCAAAAAUGGUCAGAAAUGUUAUUUUUUUCAGAAUUUGACUUUCUUCUUGAUGUCACGUCCUCAUUUGACGGAGGAAUAAGAUGGAGAAUGGAGUUUUGGAUACGACUGAUGAAAAUUGGGAGUCGAGGGGCGUUUUUGAUGAAAUUAAAAGAAGAACGACUAACGUGAUGAUCGACCCUAAAGUUGAUGGGUGUAAAUUAAAAUUAGUUUUUUUUUUUAAUUCCACGAUUUUCUUGUUUAUCCAAACACACUCAUAAAAAAACUUUGGUGGGUAACUGAUACCUAGAUAUUACUCAUGUUGAAACAGUUAUGGCAAUUAUGAGUGUUGAUUACAUGUUAAUCAAAUUGAAACUAAAGCGUGCAAUAGAAGAAGAAGAAAGUAAAAAAUAAAUGAAAGUUGUUAUUGGCGCCACUAUAUCUGUCAUUGCUUUAACUUUAGAAUGCUAUCCUAUAUUUUUUGUCAACAAACCUUCACGUGUCUGGGAUCAAGAUGGAAAAGAGGUACAUUGUAUUAAGCGACUACGGGUCAGCUAGAGCGCAUUUAGAAGGUUAUGUGAGAUUCUACAAGGAAUUGAUGAGUAAGUAUGUACAAGAAAUGUAUCUAUUGAAGAAUCAAUAGUUAUAUUCUUGAAUAUACUUGCUACUAAUGUGUAGUACAUAAAAGUUGGUUUCUGUAUUAUCGUUCUAAAGAAAUAGUUAGUCAACAAUUCCAUAACAUGUUGUAUGCAAUGAUGAGAAUAAGUAAUAUUUGAAAUUACACUAAGCUGAUAUUAAUAGUUUAGAAAUAGAGAAGUGGAAGUAGAGAAGUGGAAGUAGUUUGAGGUAAUUCCUCUGUUUAUAGCGUGCCUUGAGGCGUGCUAAGGCUUAAGGGGCUUCUCUAUUUCAUCUCAAGGCUCCCCUUAAAAGGCUUUUAUCACAAAAGGCAAGGUAAAGGCACGCCUCAGCGCCUUGAGGAGGAAAAGACACCUUAAGGCGUCGCUAUUUGUAUGUGAUUUUUUUCUCUACCCUUAAAACUACGCCGUUUUGGUGAAAAUCCAAAGAGAAAAAAUAACGUUGUUUGACUUUUUUAAUUCAUUCAUUAGCAACUUCUCUCUUCUUCUAUUUUAGAUCAUGAGUAAAUGAUUUUAUGAUGUGUGUUUGUCAUUUAGAAUCUUAGACAUUAUGUUUGUGAUUUAGCUACUUAAAUUUCAAUUUUAAAUGUAUUAGUUAUUUUUAAUAAUUUUAUUUUUCAAUUAUUUUUUUUAAACAAUAGAGAUUUAUAAUGCAUGAAAGGCUUCGCCUUCAUUCAUGAGCCACUUUUCUCAUCUUCUCUUUCACAUCAUGAGUAAAUCAUUUGAUGUUGUUGUGUGUUUGUCAUUUAGAAUCUUAGACAUUAUAUUUCUGAUAUAGCUACUUAAAUUUCAAUUUCAAUGUAUUAAUUAUUUUUAGUAUUUUAUUUUUUAAUUUUUUAAUUUUUAUUUAAAAAAUAGAGAUUCAGAAUGCAUAAAAUGCUUCGCCUUUUCGCCUCAAAGCUUUCAAGGCUGGGGGCUUCAACAUGACGCCUCUCCUCAAGGUUGAGAAUUACCGAAUUUCGGUAAUUCUAUACCUUUUGAAAAUAUGUCAUUAUGUAUCUUAAUUUUCAUGUUACUUUUUUUUUCUUCUUUCUUUUAUCUUGCAUUUUGAAUUGUCAAAUGACUGUGUCGGUUGAGGAAAGAUCGAGAUGCCAGAAUAGAAACGGUGAUAUUGUACUAACAUUUUAGGAGUUUGUGCCCCAGAUUUAAAAUUUAUAUAUGUAUUGCCUAGAUGGGUGGGUUCUGCUUCUAAUGCUCGUGUCUUACAAUAUGUUUUACGUAGGAAUAACCGGCUCGGCUUUAUGUUUAAAGAGGUAAUUCGAUAUACUGGUUUUUAUUAAAUAAAAUCUCCUGUUAAGUAAGCUUCUAAUAUCUUACAUUUCUUUUGCAGAUAAAUACUUUUUGGUGGAUGCGGGAUAUACUAAUGGACAUUGUUUUUUAGCACCAUAUCGAGCAACUAGAUAUCACUUAAACGAAUGGACAGGAAAUUGACCUGAUAAUUAAUUACAAAUAGUUGUAUAAUCUUUGACAUUCAAUUGCAAAGAAUAAUUAAUGUCAUUGAAUGAUCAUUUGGGUUGUUAAAAGAGCGUUGGAGUAUAAUGUGUACGUCAUCAUUUUUCACCAUCAAAACAGAAGUUAGGAUUAUAAAUGCUUGUUGUGUUUUGCAUAAUAAUAUCUGAAUUAGCACGCUAGUGAUCCUUUGUUGGAAGAUCAAGAUUUAAGGUUUUUAGCACCUUUUGAUUUUGAGAUAUUAAAUCGUGCAUCAUAAGAGGUUCAUGCAAAUAAUUUAAGUGAUAGGAUUACAUGUGUUGAACCUAUUGACCAGUGAAGAUGUUCAAUAUUAUCACAUUUUCGUGACAAAUUUUCUAGAUUAUCAACCAUGACAAGCUGCAAAUCCAUGACUAUGAAACAAAAAAGCUUUUUUUUUUUUUUNUUUUUUUGAAAUGUGGUUACAUAAGGAUCUUUGCUGAAGUUAUAUUUUGAAUUAACCUUUGUUUAGUCCCUAAGGUUUACACAACUCAUCUACUUAGUCCUCAAAGUUUGAAAAUCAUCUAUAUAGUCCUCAAGGUUUUGAUUUCUCAUCUAGAAGGUCCUUUAGUUAAAAAAAACUGUUAAACUACUGUUUUUCCGUUACAAAAAGAUUAUUUAUUUUAUUAUUUAAAAAAAAAAAACUCUUAAAGGACUAGACCAAGCUUUUCCUAAGAACUAGCCUUCAACAUGCCAAUAAUUCACCUAAUGACCUCCUGUCUAAUGGUUACUAAUCAUGGCGGAAUCACUGCUGUCUUAGUAUGGGCAAGCCUAAUCACUUACAAAGUAAAGGUAAUCUCACAAAAAAGAAAUAAAAGGCAAAGAAAAAUAUUUUUGAGACGAAUAAUAGGGCAUAAGGUAGAAUUUAUUUAAUUUAACAUGAAUACAAAUACCAAACCCAGAGCCUUGCUCUCAGGUAAACAGCUAAAGGUUGUUUAGCUACUCAUAAGUUAUAUAUAAACACAAGUACUUACUUGUAAAUUUACAGCACACCUCACCAGAUGAUUACAGACUUCGAUCUAAAAACACUCUUAUUAUUCUCACACUAUUCUAAAGAUUGUAUAAUGACUCUCUUUAACUUCUUGAGAAAGGUUGAGAAAAUUUCAGAUUUCUGUUUCAGGUUCCUUCUUCGAUGCCUUCCUACUGAAGUUUGAGGCCCCUUAUAUAGAGAGCGGAUCCCGAACUAAAAAUAAAACACACUUAUUCAUAAUGGUGGACAAGAGGAAUCUUAUCUUGAUAAUUUUACCUUUUGAAAAAGUAAGUCGAAAGCUUUUAAGUUCUGGCAGCUACUUUUUAUCAAAAGAAAAGCUGUUUGUCGUGGUGUGUUGGCAACCGUUCAACUUUCCAACAUAUUCACAAUAUUGUGAUAUGUUUCAGGAUCUUCAGAAUAACCCACUGAGGAGUUGGGACCACUGUAUUCCCAAUCUCGUGCCGUGUCUUCAUCUCCAUUGUCGAGGUCUGAAUCAUAAGGAUAAGAAAUCUUAUACUUUUCUUCAGUCUCAACUUUUUCUAACCACGUAGUGGUAGCCAGAGUGCAGUCCACCUCUUUCCUCAUAAGGGCUGUGAAAAAGUCACAGUUCUCUGGUGGAGGGUGAUUGUAACAUGUGACCAUUAUUUUUUCUCCACUGGCUAAAAGACUUGAAUCAUAGUCUCUUAAAACCACGUCUUUAAUAAUUGCUAUGGUCAUGGCUUUCAUCCAAGGAAUGCUUUGAUUUGGUCUUCCAUUUCCACUGCCAAUAGCUGUCUUUUGAACCGGACUUUGGAUUAAUCUGACAUGAUGAUAUGGAGAAAUAUAAUUCAUCUGAUUAUUUACCACUGUCCAUUCUGGUGGAGUUGAAAUGAAUUUUAACCUUAGGAUACAACCAUCAGGUCUGAUAUUCUUGACUGCUUCAGCUAUUAUUUCUGGAAAGCCCUCCAGAUCUUCAUUAGUUUUUGUCCACAGAUUAUGAACAAAACUGUUUUCUACAAGCCAUAGCUUGUGCUUCUAAGGAUGUUCUGCUUGAACGUCAACUAGAUAUCUCCAAUAAUAUGGGCCAGGAACUACAGAUAAUGUUCUUGGUAGAACAUCUUUUCCUUCUCCUAAGAGAUUAUGAAAUUUAUACCAUUCAGAUUCUUUUAGUGCUAGCAUUGGUAUUUUAGCACUUUCAGGAUUUUCAAGGUAAAUAGCCUUAGAACUUCCUGCUUGAUUUUCUGCUGGAACAUCUUUGUCUUUUAUAUGGAAUCCAUACAACUCUUCAGUUAAAGCCUUGAGAGUUUGAAGCAAAUGAGCUUCAUUGUCUUCAUAAAAGGAAUACAGAAUAUUAUCAAUAAUAAUCUUCUACUUGAAAGGUAACAAUCUUUCUGUUCUGAAACUGGCUUCUAAAAGAUCUUCAUAGAUUGAUCAUGGAUAACCUUCUUUCCUGUGACUAUCGGUAUCUUACUUGCCCUAAGAGGGUCUCUUCUACUUUUUGGCAAAACAGCAGCCAUCAACGGACUUGAUAUGCCUUUAUCGUCUGCCGUUUGAGACGGGCUAGCCGGUCUUUUACCCUGAGACCGAUCAGUUGAGGCUGUUCCUUUCGGACACAGCAAAAACUCUUGUGCAAGCUUUUCUUCAUCAGAAGUAACAGACUGAUCUGUUUCUUUUUUAGAAUGGUCUGAAAACUCAUUCCAUCCUUGAUCUAGUUUUGGCUUGAUUCUUUCUGAAGGCUGGCCUGAUUCAACAGCUCCAUAAGAAACAAUGUAUUGAUAACCUGGUCCGUCAUGGAGAGGUCCUACGGUUUUAUCACCGCUAUUGUAUCUUUCCCAAAGCUUCUUUUCUUCUGAUAUAGAUUUCUGACUUCUAGUGUAAUACCCUAGAUUUUCAUAUCUAUUUUCCUUGUUUUAUUCCCUUAUUUUAAUGAAGGAUUAUUCAUGAAAAUUCUUGGGUUUAUGCGAAGUUGAAGUUCGGGAGUUUAUUUAAAGUUGCCUUGACUUUUAAUAGGCCAAAAGUUGACUUUAUUUUCCGUAAGUUAUCUUCGAAAACUUCCUUCAUGAAAGUUGUAGAGCUUGUCGAUACGAGUUCGUAGACAUGCGACACGUCUAAAACGGAUGUCGUAUGAAGAAGUUAUGUUCAGAGGAAGUUUGUUUUCGGGUUUGAAAAGAGUAUAAGUAGAAAAAUUGUGUGUGGGAUUAAUUAGAACCCUAAAAAUCAGUUUCCCUCCUCUCUCUCUCCUCCCACCCGAGCUCCCCGAGCCUUCACUUUCUUCAGCCGAGUUCUUCCUCCUCCGGCCACCAAACCGGACGCCACCGGUCCCAUUCGACUCCCACAGCAGCCCUCUCUAUUUCUGGAGCAGUUCCGCCGGCUGUCCCGCCGCCUGGAAGCCGCCACAAAGCGGCGGAGCUACCGCUGUCCCGCCGGAAAACCGGCGAUUUCGACGCCGUUUUCGGCCAAGUUAGGUGAGNNNNNNNNNNNNNNNNNNNNNNNNNNNNNNNNNNNNNNNNNNNNNNNNNNNNNNNNNNNNNNNNNNNNNNNNNNNNNNNNNNNNNNNNNNNNNNNNNNNNNNNNNNNNNNNNNNNNNNNNNNNNNNNNNNNNNNNNNNNNNNNNNNNNNNNNNNNNNNNNNNNNNNNNNNNNNNNNNNNNNNNNNNNNNNNNNNNNNNNNNNNNNNNNNNNNNNNNNNNNNNNNNNNNNNNNNNNNNNNNNNNNNNNNNNNNNNNNNNNNNNNNNNNNNNNNNNNNNNNNNNNNNNNNNNNNNNNNNNNNNNNNNNNNNNNNNNNNNNNNNNNNNNNNNNNNNNNNNNNNNNNNNNNNNNNNNNNNNNNNNNNNNNNNNNNNNNNNNNNNNNNNNNNNNNNNNNNNNNNNNNNNNNNNNNNNNNNNNNNNNNNNNNNNNNNNNNNNNNNNNNNNNNNNNNNNNNNNNNNNNNNNNNNNNNNNNNNNNNNNNNNNNNNNNNNNNNNNNNNNNNNNNNNNNNNNNNNNNNNNNNNNNNNNNNNNNNNNNNNNNNNNNNNNNNNNNNNNNNNNNNNNNNNNNNNNNNNNNNNNNNNNNNNNNNNNNNNNNNNNNNNNNNNNNNNUUGGUGUAAGGGUUAGACCUGCAGGUGAGGAUCAGCGAGGGUUGAGAUGGAGGCGUAGUGGCGUAGGGUUUUUUGUUGGGUUUUGGGUGUGUCUUUGUAUAUUCUUUUAUAUACACGGGGAUAGGAAUUAUUAAACUCAUGUGAGCGUUUCCUUUCUUGUUCUCAAGUUAUGUAAACAAGAAAAUGUAAUAUUUAACUCAAUUUGGAGUUGUGUAAAUUUACAUUACGCAUUGAGUUUAUUUUCCUUGAUUUUUGUUGAAACAGGUUUUAGGAUAUUAAUAUUUUAGGAUAUAUCAUGCCAAAAUUUUUUGAAAUUUAUCUUUCAAAUAAAAUUGGGGCGUGACAUCUAGGAUUGCGACCUUCUCUAUCAAACAUAGCCAUUUCUCUUGUGAGAGCGUCGGGCAAAUAGUUCUUGUCAACAUCAUAUUCAUAUUAGGUUAAAAACAUUUGCCAUCUCAGAACUCUUCCCCUAUCAGCAGCAUCAGUUAAUUUGUAAUUUUUGAAGUUUUUGACUCUUUUGUUAUCAGUUCUAACUACAAAUUUAUUUCCUAAGAAUGCCUCAGCACCCUUAAUGCUCUUAAUUAGGGCAAGGACAUCCUUAUCUCCAAUAGAAUAGUUUAAUUCUGCUGCGUUAAACUUUCCUAAUAGAAAUUUACAAAUCUUUUCAUGAUUUGUGUUUGGAGCAACCGCUAAAACAACUCCUGCCCAAUAAUAAUCAUUUGCAUCAGUCUGCAAAAUGAUCAAAUCUCCUUCUUCAGGUAACUGUAGAGGAGGAAGGCUUCUUGUUAACUCCUUAAUCUUUCUGACAGUAUUACUGUCAUCAGCUGUGAAAUACCAUUUCUUCUUAGAAUUUGUUUUUGGAGAGAGGAGAGCAGUUAGACCACUAACUUGUGGAAUAAAAUCUCUGACGAAAUUAACAACUCCCAAAAAUCUCUGUAGAGACUUUGCUUCUGGGAUUAUGUGUGGAAAUUGGCUGAUUUUCUUAACAAUAUGAUCUUGGAGACGAAUCUCUCCAUCCUUAACAUGAAUGCCAAGGAAAUCAAUUUCACCUUUAAUAAGAUGAAUCUUCUUCUGUCCAAGAAUGAUUCCUUUUUGGACAAUAAGUUUACACACCUGUUCAAGAUGCUUUAGAUGCUCAUUCAUAGUUUUGGAGAAGACAAGAAUGUCAUCUAUGUAAACUAUGCAAAAUUCUGAGUAAAGCUUGAAGAUAUUAUCCAUUUUUCUUUGAAAAAUAGACGGGGCUUGCUUAAGACCAAAUGACAUAACUAACCAUUCAUAGUGCCCUUGAGGAGUUCCAAAAGCUGUUAAUGCUAUGGAAUCAGGAUGCAUUUUAACCUGCCAAAAGCCUGACUUUGCAUCAAACUUAGAGAAGAUUUUUGCUCCUUUAAGCCUGUUGAUGAGAACUCUCACCUGAGCUAUCUGAUAACCGUCUUUAACGGUCUUUUUAUUUACAUCCCUGUAAUCAAUCACCAUUCUAGCUUUUCCUCUUAAUUGUUCAGCAUGAUUUCUUACCAAGAAAGCUGGGGCAUGAUGAGGACUGUUUGAAGGCCGGAUUAACUUCUUUUCCAGAAGUUCUAGGAUUUGAUUCUCCAUUUCUUUUCUAUCUUCUUCUCUGUAAUGAGGGAUGGCCUUAACAUGGCAAAUAGUAUUUGCAUCAUGCAUUUUUAGCUGACAAUAUAUUGGGUCUCUUUCCCAAUACAAUUGAGGAUCUUCACUGAUUACUGGUUUCAACAAUUUCUCUAUUUCUGUGAGAGUUGGUAUUUUCUUUUGCUCUACCUUGUUAGCAUAUACCUUUAGAUUAUGCUCUCUGAUGUAUUCUUCUUCUCCAUCAGAACUCUCGUUGUCAGAAAUUUGAUAUUCAGAACUUUCCUCUGAUUCAGAGUCUUCUGAACUUGUUUCUUCAUUCACCAAUAUCUCCUUGUGACCUUUAAGCUGCUCUUGUAACAACAAGACUGGUUUUAAAAUUCGCAUAUAAUCACCACUCUUCGCUGGCGACCUCUGAUAUUGGUCUGUAAAUCUUUUACUAGUAACACGUACUGCGUCUGUUAAUCGGGAUUCCCAAUGGUAUUUUUCUGUUUUUCAAACCCAAGCAUUUUUGGCGUUUGAAUUACUGUUUGUUGAAGAAGAAAGUCAUUCCCUAUCAACAAAUCAGCUGUCUGACUUUCACACUGCCAAAGAAUCUUGAUGGUAAAAGUUCCUCCUCCCAAGGAAACGUGCACAUUUCGUGCCAUUGUAUCCAUAACUAUGUUGUUUUCUUCCAUUGCAACUCUAGUAACUGUCCUUGGAGAUUUUUCCCAAUAUUCUUCAGGGAUAGCAUAUCUUUUAGCAAGACUAAACCCUGAACCAGUAUCUACAAAUGCAUGUAGAUGAUAUUUUUUGUAGUUGGGAAACUUCAGUCCUAUAGUAAUAUAAUUACUAUAUAUGCUUGUCUGGACUGGCAUUAUUUUUGCUUGCUUUCUUGGAUCAUCAAGGAACUCUGUGAAAGGAUUGACCUUUCUUUCUGCAGUUUUUGAUUCUAGAGGAUUGUCAUUUGCUAGACCCAGUAUCGGAUUGGAACUAGAAUUGAGAGAAUCAAGAGAUUCCUUGAUUUCCCUGUUCUGACUUAAUGAAGUUACAAACUUCAUCGUUUUUAUAUCUUCUUCAAGGUUCUUUUCCUUUUCUUUUUUUAUGGAAGACAUUGUAUUCCUCUUCUACCAGGACAUGUGCUUCAUUAUCUUUGGUUUUUCUUCUGAGUUCUGCAAUAAAACACUCCCGAUGAUAAGUUUCACAUGUACCUUCACAGUACAUGGGAAUUGUAUUAUUAUCAUCACAUUUGCAAUAGUCAUAAAUGAAUCUUCCUGGAUUGGGAUGGAAGGUACUGAUAAUAUCAGUGUUUUCUUCCUUCCAAUUCUGUAUUUGUAAUAAAAAUAUAGGACGAUCUCCUAUAUCUUCUUCUUCAGAGUUUUCUGAAGUACUUUCUGUCUCACAAUCUGAUGAGUACUCAAGAGAAUAUAUUGAUUCAUUCUCUUCAUUAGAAUAUGCGACUUCAAAGCCUUUUAGAUUAGCAUACUCUAUUGUUUCAUCAUACUCAGCGAUUAAGGCUUUAGAAGAUCUCUUGUCCUUUUUAGGACAUUCAUUUGCAUAAUGUCCAUCUGCCUUGCAAAGCCAACAUCUGCAUUUCUUUGUUUCCUUAGAAGAAAAAUUCAUCUUCUUUUUCCUUUUGAAAAAUCUCUUUCUAGGAGAAGUUUGAGACGAUUGUUCUUUCUUAUAUCCAGGCCUUUUCCUGAACUUAUACUUCUUCUUAGAAGCAAAUUCUUUAUCAUGCUUGGUGCUAGAGAACUUCCUUCGGUGUUUUCUUUCUGUAGGAAUAUGACAUCCCCAUUGUGUUGGGGUAUCUAAAAUCUUUGGACACAUAUUCUCAACUCCUCUGAGUUGCUUCUUGGCCGUUUUGGAUUUUCUGUUCUCUGUGCAUUGCUUUCUUAGGAGAUCCCUAACUCUUUCUGCAAUUCCUCCUACAGUAAAAUACUGAAAAGGGUUUUCUUCUAAUGACUGUGCUACUGCAUCAUUCUAGGGUUCUGGCAAUUUUCUGUAAUAAGUUCUGAUGAGAUCAUUAUUUUCAAUGUCUCCAAUAGUGCAGUUGACACGACCCACCCCAAAUUUCACCCUGAAACCCGGAGUAAGUCGUGCGGGGACCACCUCCAAGGAAAAUUUACUGAAAAGAUUGAGAAAAUCUCCCUUGCAAAUGGACAACCCUAACUCGAAAAUUCCAAAUUUCACUCUUAAUUCAACACUUCCAAACAUCACAUAAUAUACAAUAAUCCUAAAGUAUUCAUAGCUACUAAACACAAACGGAAGCAAGAAAACACGAGUAGGUUGAACAGGUAACCUACUGAUGAAAACUGGCAGAAAUGCGGGUGACUAUGCCUCGCCUCCUACUAGAUCCAACCCGAACUCUGCAGACUGGGCAAUUUAAAACGAAAGGCCCAGGGGAAAACAUUUAAUAACGUUAGAGUGAGUGGACAAAAAUAAAAUAAAGGAAAUAAUUCUUUAUGCUUUCCCAAUUUUUACUUUUCCAUAGAAAAGAAAAUAUGCUGCAUGCGACAGCUCAAAACGCUCAACACGAAAACUGGAAUUUCAUGACUGGCACCGGCCAGUCUCCAACGCUCAAUAAAAUACAGCCUCUCAGGCUAAAAUAAAAUAUGUAUGUAUUACACUCGUCAUAUCCCUUGUAUGAAUUUUCUUGAAACAACUAAAACAAAUAGCAAAUUCACACAAGGCUACAACGUUGCGUCUAACGCUCACGUUGCACCAUAAUGGCAUUUUACCUCAUUAUGGUGGAAAAGACGGUGUAUAAAUAUACGCGCAUAUCCCCUAUAUAAAUUAUUAUAUUUAUAUAGGGCUACGACGAUUGCGUCUAACGCUCACGUCGCACCAUAAUGGAAUUUUACCUCAGUAUGGUGGAAAAGCACGUAUAGCUAGCUAGCAUUCUCUCAUAUACAUAUUAUUCUCAUAAUCAUCCAAAUAUGGAUAUAUAUACAUACUCACCGAAAUUCUCAAUUUCGGUUAUUCUUUAACCACAUAAAUUAUUUCGCAUGCACAUCAUUUAAAAUAAAAGUCCACUCACAAAUUAGGCCUAAGCCUGAUGUCGAUCUGGGGCCUCGUCAGCUCGAGCCUCCUCACGACCUGUUCCAAAUAUAAUAUUAAGUUCCCAGCCGAAAUUCCAAUAUUUAAUCAAAAUAGGCAAAAUUACCUGAGAGCCAUAAAUACGCUUAUCAUUGCCUAACUUCGAUAAUCUUAAAUUGGAACAAUCCGAACUUAAAUAUCAUACUCAACAGUCGUAAAUACAACCUCUCCAAAAUACGACUUAAAUCCUACGGCCGGAUUCUACAUUAAUUAACCGCCAAAAAUACUAACUUCGGAAAUUCAUAAACCUAUCCAAAACUCAUCCAAAAAUUCCAUAACUCACUUCAAUAAACUCCCCUUAAUAUUCAAAAUUUAACAACAUUAAAAUCUCCCAACCGGCGGCGGCCGGAGACCAGUUACGGCGACCUCCAAUUCCUAUGAAAUUUUAACAGCAUCUUCCUCUCAUCAUGCUCUACAACUUUCAUAACUAGCACAAACACCAAUUCCAAGCCUAACUAGGGCAAUCGACUAAAAACAUCAAAAACACCAUAAAACUUCCACCUCAAAUUUCUCCUUACCUAGCUCAAGAGGGAGUGAGUCCUUUUAGGGCAAGGUUGCUGGGUUGGAGGGCUACAAAACCAUACCAAGCUUGCCCGGAUUGGUGGCCGGAGGAGGGAGUUCCGGCGAAAUGCUUCCCGGCGUUUCUGGCGGGUUUUCUCCUCUUCCGGCGGGUUAGAGGCUCGGGGGCUAGGCCGGGGAGGGAGAGGAGG
Molecule: long non-coding RNA, 21906 nt
Filed under: Fragaria vesca (wild strawberry)
Lineage: Eukaryota; Viridiplantae; Streptophyta; Magnoliopsida; Rosales; Rosaceae
Description: long non-coding RNA (FVES_LNC003683)
Source: RNAcentral